RNAcentral lists this ribosomal RNA (465 nucleotides) under uncultured bacterium. Its description in RNAcentral is "bacterial SSU rRNA". It matches the Rfam family "Bacterial small subunit ribosomal RNA", at positions 330 to 792 of the family's 1533-position model. The record is from RNAcentral.
GCCAGACUCCUACGGGAGGCAGCAGUGAGGAAUAUUGGUCAAUGGACGAGAGUCUGAACCAGCCAAGUAGCGUGAAGGAUGACUGCCCUAUGGGUUGUAAACUUCUUUUAUAUGGGAAUAAAAUGUUCCACGUGUGGGAUUUUGUAUGUACCAUAUGAAUAAGGAUCGGCUAACUCCGUGCCAGCAGCCGCGGUAAUACGGAGGAUCCGAGCGUUAUCCGGAUUUAUUGGGUUUAAAGGGAGCGUAGGUGGAUUGUUAAGUCAGUUGUGAAAGUUUGCGGCUCAACCGUAAAAUUGCAGUUGAAACUGGCAGUCUUGAGUACAGUAGAGGUGGGCGGAAUUCGUGGUGUAGCGGUGAAAUGCUUAGAUAUCACGAAGAACUCCGAUUGCGAAGGCAGCGUACCGGCUCCACACUGACGCUGAGGCACGAAAGCGUGGGUAUCGAGCAGGAUUAGAUACCCGAGUA